Molecule: transfer RNA, 77 nt
Filed under: Verrucomicrobiota bacterium
Lineage: Bacteria; Pseudomonadati; Verrucomicrobiota
Also listed under: 3 other names
Description: Verrucomicrobia bacterium (activated sludge metagenome) tRNA-Pro
Rfam family: tRNA
About the family: Transfer RNA (tRNA) molecules are approximately 80 nucleotides in length. Their secondary structure includes four short double-helical elements and three loops (D, anti-codon, and T loops).
Source: RNAcentral
CGGGGCGUAGCGCAGUCUGGUAGCGCGCUUCGUUCGGGACGAAGAGGCCGUGGGUUCGAAUCCCGCCGCCCCGACCA